UGGGUUUUCAGGUGUAUAUAACCACACUCA
Molecule: non-coding RNA, 30 nt
Filed under: Mus musculus (house mouse)
Lineage: Eukaryota; Metazoa; Chordata; Mammalia; Rodentia; Muridae
Source: RNAcentral